Non-coding RNA from Paramuricea clavata, 1921 nucleotides. Lineage: Eukaryota; Metazoa; Cnidaria; Anthozoa; Malacalcyonacea; Plexauridae. The record is from the annotation of a GenBank genome assembly.
CAUCCAUUUUUAGCGACUUUUUCCAUUUUUCAUAAGUGGCCAAAAAACAGCAAAAAAGUAAGGCUAUAGGCUUAACUUUUCGUCCAUUUUUAGCGACUUUUUCCAUUUUUCAUAAGUGGCCAAAAAAACAGCAAAACAGCCUUAACUUUUCAUCCAUUUUUAGCGACUUUUUCCAUUUUUCAUAAGUGUACAAAAAAUAUCAAAAAAGUAAGGCUAUAGGCUUAAAUUUUCAUCCAUUUUAGCGACUUUUUCCAUUUUACAUAAGUGGCCAAAAAACAGCAAAAAAGUAAGGCUAUAGGCUUAACUUUUCGUCCAUUUUUAGCGACUUGUUCCAUUUUUCAUAAGUGGCCAAAAUACUGCAAAAAAGUAAGGCUAUAGGCUUAACUUUUCGUCCAUUUUUAGCGACUUUUUCCAUUUUACAUAAGUGGCCAAAAAACAGCAAAAAAGUAAGGCUAUAGGCUUAACUUUUCAUCCAUUUUUAGCGACUUCCAUUUUUCAUAAGUGGGCAAAAAAACAGCAAAAAAGUAAGGCUAUAGGCUUAACUUUUCAUCCAUUUUUAGCGACUUUUUCCAUUUUUCAUAAGUGGCCAAAAAACAGCAAAAAAGUAAGGCUAUAGGCUUAACUUUUCGUCCAUUUUUACCGAAUUUUUCCAUUUUUCAUAAGUGGAAAAAAAACAGCAAAAAAGUAAGGCUAUAGGCUUAACUUUUCGUCCAUUUUUAGCGACUUUUUCCAUUUUUCAUAAGUGGCCAAAAAAACGGCAAAACAGCCUUAACUUUUCAUCCCUUUUUAGCGACUUUUUCCAUUUUUCAUAAGUGUACAAAAAACAUCAAAAAAGUAUGGCUAUAGGCUUAAAUUUUCAUCCAUUUUAGCGACUUUUUCCAUUUUUCGUAAGUGACCAAAAAACAGCAAAAAGUAAGGCUAUAGGCUUAACUUUUCCUCCAUUUUUACCGACUGUUUCCAUUUUUGAUAAGUGGUCAAAAAAACACCAAAAAAGUAAGGCUAUAGGCUUAGCUUUUCGUCCAUUUUUACCGACUGUUUCCAUUUUUGAUAAGUGGCCAAAAAACAGCAAAAAAGUAAGGCUAUAGGCUUAACUUUUCGUCCAUUUUUAGCGGCUUUUUCCAUUUUUUCGUAAGUGGCCAAAAAACAGCAAAAAAGUAAGGCUAUAGGCUUAACUUUUCGUCCAUUUUUAGCGACUUUUUCCAUUUUUCGUAAGUGGCCAAAAAACAGCAAAAAAGUAAGGCUAUAGGCUUAACUUUUCGUCCAUUUUUAGCGACUUUUUCCAUUUUUCAUAAGUGGCCAAAAAACAGCAAAAAAGUAAGGCUAUAGGCUUAACUUUUCAUCCAUUUUUAGCGACUUUUUCCAUUUUUCAUAAGUGGCCAAAAAACAGCAAAAAAGUAAGGCUAUAGGCUUAACUUUUCGUCCAUUUUUAGCGACUUUUUCCAUUUUUCAUAAGUGGCCAAAAAACAGCAAAAACAGCCUUAACUUUUCGUCCAUUUUUAACGACUUUUUCCAUUUUUUAUAAGUGGCCAAAAAACACCAAAAAAGUAAGGCUAUAGGCUUAACUUUUCGUCCAUUUUUAGCGACUUUUUCCAUUUUUCAUAAGUGGCCAAAAUACAGCAAAACAGCCUUAACUUUUCGUCCAUUUUUAACGACUUUUUCCAUUUUUCGUAAGUGGCCAAAAAACACCAAAAGGUAAGGCUAUAGGGCUUAACUUUUCGUCCAUUUUUAGCGACUUUUUCCAUUUUUUAUAAGUGGUCAAAAAACAGCAAAACAGCCUUAACUUUUCAUCCAUUUUUAGCGACUUUUUCCAUUUUUCAUAAGUGGCCAAAAAACACCAAAAGGUAAGGCUAUAGGCUUAACUUUUCGUCCAUUUUUAGCGACUUUUUCCAUUUUUCAUAAGUGGCCAAAAAACAGCAAAAAA